Musa acuminata AAA Group (dessert banana) is the source of this 899-nucleotide long non-coding RNA. RefSeq lists it as uncharacterized. NCBI's taxonomy places the organism in Eukaryota, Viridiplantae, Streptophyta, Magnoliopsida, Zingiberales, Musaceae. The record is from RefSeq and is a predicted model, not a curated record. The transcript is spliced from 3 exons.
ACGCUUCUGUUUUCCCUGCUGGUUUUUGUUUUGUGCCUAAUUGCCUUAAAUUUUCAGUAAAACCAAGAGAAGCAAAAGAGGAAUAGGAGCCAAAAUGUCCUUUUGCCAGUUAAUUUCAUUUAAGUUGUAUUGUUUCUUUAUAAUUAGCUAGAAGAGUCUGAUUACUUCAACUUCAAAUUAGUUUUGUUCCUGUACAUGACAUUUACUGUUUUGUUUUCUUUUCCUUUUUCAGUUUUUGAUCACUGAUUAAUGAUUACAGUACGUUGUACACACUGAUUGACGCCUCAUUCCUUUUCCAGCAGAGUUUAGGAAAGUAAUUUUGGCCUCAUCUGUUGGAAUACAAAGUUUAUGCAAUUUCUAGUACCACUUACCGAGGCAUUUGAAAGAAGGACAGCAUCCCUUUCUCGUAUCAUGAGAAGGCUUGUUAAAUCCUCCUCAAAUAUAUCUUUGAAAGUUCUUAGAUUGGCUGUUCUUUUGUCUAUUUGAACGAGGUAUUGGCAUGAAAUUCUCUAGUUUCAUGACUUUGUCCUUUUAGAUACAAGAAAAAGGCCACAACACAAGCAUCCAUGAUGGAUUUCUUCCACUCAAUACUAUGAUAACAGCCAAGAAAUUAUUUUAUUGCAAUCAAUUGCAAUUAUUGUGUUACAUUGGGAUGAGAAAGAGGUUUAUGGUCUGCUUUCUGUUUCAUAUGGGGCACAUGCCUUUCCAAGUGAGCAUCAGCCAUGCGUAGGUUCUAGUGAGAGAGAAGAUGUCUAUUUCAAGAACAUCAUGGUUUUCCUUCUACAUUCACAUUUGGUGGGUCCUGGUGCAUCAAACUAUUUAAACAUCAUAAUAGUUUUCUUUCUGCAUUCACCUUUUAAUUGCAGUUUAUCAACAGCACUGAUGCCCUUUUUUUUCCG